CAGCAAUUCAUUUAAAGAGUGCGUAACAGCUCACUGGUCGAGCGACAGAGCAUCGAUAAUAAUCGGGCAUCAAGUGUAGUACCGAAGCUCAGGAUUUGCAGUAAUGCAAGUGGUAGGGGAGCAUUCUAACAGCGGCGAAGUCGUCUGGUAAUGGACGGUGGAGCGGUUAGAAAAGCAAAUGUAGGCAUAAGUAACGAUAAGGCAGGCGAGAAACCUGCCCACCGAAAGACUAAGGGUUCCGCGGCAAUGUUAAUCAACCGCGGGUAAGUCGGGACCUAAGCAAAAGCCGAGAGGCGUAUGUGAUGGACAAUUGGUUAAUAUUCCAAUACUACCGUAUUGAGCGAUGGGAUGACGGAGGAGUGAUAGUUCCGCGAUCUGACGAAAUAGGUCGUUAAAAGGUGUAGGUAUAGGACCUGUAGGAAAAUCCGCAGGUUUUGCUGAAACCCAACAGUACCUGGAGGCUUCGGCCAAAGGGAUAGAGAACGUAAGCAGACUUCCAAGAAAACCCCCUAAGCAUAUUGAUAUGGUACCCGUACCGGAAACCGACACAGGUAGUCGAGGAGAGGAUCCUAAGGUGCUCGAGUGAGUCAUGGCUAAGGAACUAGGCAAAUUAACCCUGUAACUUCGGGAGAAGGGGUGCCUCCUCUAGCAAUAGAGAGGUCGCAGAGAAAUGGUCCAGGCGACUGUUUAACAAAAACACAUGGCUAUGCGAAAUCGAAAGAUGAAGUAUAUGGCCUGACACCUGCCCGGUGCUGGAAGGUUAAGGGGGGACGUUAGUCGCAAGGCGAAGCGUUGAACUGAAGCCCCGGUAAACGGCGGCCGUAACAAUAACGGUCCUAAGGUAGCGAAAUUCCUUGUCGGGUAAGUUCCGACCUGCACGAAUGGUCUAAUGAGUUGAACGCUGUCUCCUCCACGAGCCCGGUGAAAUUGUAGUAUCGGUGAAGAUGCCGGUUACCCGCCACGGGACGGAAAGACCCCGUGAACCUUCACUACAACUUUGCAUUGAUUUUGAAUUACGGAUGUGUAGAAUAGUUGGGACGCUUUGAAGCAUUGCCGCCAGGUAGUGUGGAGCGGUCGUUGAAAUACCAACCUUCUUUGAUUUAGAGUCUAAUCCCUUGCGGGAAACAGUGCAUGGUGGGUAGUUUGACUGGGGUGGUCGCCUCCUAAAGAGUAACGGAGGCUUGCAAAGGUACCCUCAGUACGGUUGGUAAUCGUACGUAGAGCGCAUUAGUAUAAGGGUGCUUGACUGUGAGGCAAACAGGCCGAGCAGGGACGAAAGUCGGCUAAAGUGAUCCGGCGGUUCUGUAUGGAAGGGCCGUCGCUCAAAGGAUAAAAGGUACGCCGGGGAUAACAGGCUGAUCUCCCCCAAGAGCUCAUAUCGACGGGGAGGUUUGGCACCUCGAUGUCGGCUCGUCACCACCUGGGGCUGGAGAAGGUCCCAAGGGUUGGGCUGUUCGCCCAUUAAAGUGGCACGCGAGCUGGGUUCAGAACGUCGUGAGACAGUUCGGUCCCUAUCUGUGAUGGGCGUAGGAAGUUUGAGAGGUCUUGACCUUAGUACGAGAGGACCGGGUUGAACCAACCGCUGGUGUACCGGUUGUGGCGUCAGCUGCAUUGCCGGGUAGCUAUGUUGGGACGAGAUAAGCGCUGAAAGCAUCUAAGCG
Molecule: ribosomal RNA, 1661 nt
Filed under: Musa ABB Group
Lineage: Eukaryota; Viridiplantae; Streptophyta; Magnoliopsida; Zingiberales; Musaceae
Description: bacterial LSU rRNA
Rfam family: Bacterial large subunit ribosomal RNA
Source: RNAcentral